This is a long non-coding RNA of Cyprinus carpio carpio, 1397 nucleotides long. The record is from Ensembl. Lineage: Eukaryota; Metazoa; Chordata; Actinopteri; Cypriniformes; Cyprinidae.
UAUAUAUAUAUAUAUAUAUAUAUAUAUAUAUAUAUAUACACACACUUGUUAAACUUUGCUAUUAAGUACAUUCUGCCUUACGAAAUGCGAAUAACAUACUUAUGUUAAAAGUCCCAUCUUUGUUACAUUUAUCAGGAAAAAUUGCCGGUAAAAGCCAGCUGUGGGACUGUUUGUAUUAAAUUUGGAUAACUGUAGACCUGCUCUUGUUCUGAAAAAGGACCUUAUAGAAUUAAGCAGUUUUACUAUUAGAUUGGUUUCAUUCACAUUUAAUUAUUCUCAAUAGUUAACUUUGGUAGCCUUAGUUAAUAGUUAAAAAAAUAUGUGUUUUUUUGAUUAGAGGAACACGAGUUUACAUUUUAGUUUAAACUUAUACAUAUGCAUUGUAUUGUCAAAGUUAAAACCGAAAACGGUGGAUAUUUGCAUAUUUCAUGAGUUUUUCUGGCUGCGUGAUGGUCUGCCUGUCUUAACCAAUCAAAUUUUGCUGUUGGUCUCGUAACCAGGUUUCAAAACACCACAGCAUGUCAGAAAUAGAUGCAAGUUGCUGGUCUCACCCUUAUGUGGCGAGAUGUAUUUUGUGAAUGACCUCUGAACUGGCUUUCCUGUCAGUGUGGACGGUUUUGGCAUCUGGUGACCCCAUUUGUUCUGUGCAUGAUUCAGCUGCUGCUGUCUGUUCUAAUUGAAGGGACGAACAUUGCAUAUUCACCACCAUGGAAAUGCAAUCCAAUAGCAAGAAUAAAUACCACACUUUCACACACUAGACACUAGCAUUUGUCAAAAAUGGCUCAAGCUAUGAAAAUGUGGAGGGAAAAAAUUACAGGACCAAUUUGUGGUGUUUGCACCAAUGCACUGGUCACUAGAUUGAAGAUGUGCACUAUCCAAGGACUGUGUAAGUUGUAAUUUCUGUAUCACCACAAAAUGUGCUGUUGUUAUUGACGUCAAAGUACUGUCAGAAUGCAGAGUAUACCAACUAUGCAUGAUAUGUAAUGUGUGUUCCUCGCCAAGACUUCACACACAAUACAUGCUCAUGAAAAUGAUCAACACACUCACUUUACUAUAAACAUUGUCAUGACUCCAUUUGGACACAACACUAAAACACUUGGUGUCUGCCAGAACAUUGUGAUUAAUAAAAUGUAGCACAUAAUGUUUAUAUGAUACUAAAGGGACAUUUUCACUGUGGAAUUCUCAUUCCAUGUGUGUGAUGUUUUGGAGUGCAAGUCAGGCUUCGAUUUGCCUCUAAGGUAAUCUUAAAAUCUGCCUCGUAAUAAAAUCUCAUGCAGAAGUCUGUGGUGUGUGUUUUAUGGGGUUAUUAAAAUAUGCAUGAAAUGAAAGGAAACUUUAAAACUGUUUCUUUCAAAACAAAUUUAAGAUCAUGAGAAUACUGUCACAUCAUUAAAUCA